Molecule: long non-coding RNA, 156 nt
Organism: Octopus sinensis (East Asian common octopus)
Lineage: Eukaryota; Metazoa; Mollusca; Cephalopoda; Octopoda; Octopodidae
Exons: 3
Source: RefSeq, a predicted model, not a curated record
ACUUUUUGUAAAGGGGGGGGAAAGCCACUUGUGAGGGGCUCCGUGUGCUGCCAGGAACCGCUAAAGUGUGGCUUGGGAUUUGCCCUGGCUAAUGAUGCGCAGACAUGCGUUGAGGCUGAGACAUCUAUGGUGCCACUUGGAGGGUGAUAAGGUGUG